RNAcentral lists this unclassified non-coding RNA (519 nucleotides) under Bombus terrestris (buff-tailed bumblebee). RNAcentral's name for it is "misc RNA ENSBTSG00005031589.1". Lineage: Eukaryota; Metazoa; Arthropoda; Insecta; Hymenoptera; Apidae. The record is from RNAcentral.
ACUACGAACUAGAGAAGAGGUUAAUCGUAUAAGGUCAACGUAUUUUUCUCACAACGCUAUCAACUAGUCGAAACAAGUUUACCGUGCCAUCCGACUUUCAGGACAAAAUAGAGCGAUGAAAAGCUGGCAGAGUACUCCUUUAGGCACCUAAACUUCUAACGAGGCAUCAUUCUACCUGUAUGACGUAAGGUAUCAUGGAAAUGCAAUGAUUUAUGGCUAUAGCUUUGAAACAAAGUCAAACAGGAUGCACGUUCGUACGAACUUUUCUCAAUGCUUUUGUGCCUCUUGCCCACUCACGAAUAGAAUUCCGUUUAGAAGAAAUCUAUUUAUAUGAAGGAGAUCUUAUGCAUUCGAUGUUCAACAUCGAAAGGAUUCAAGUGUAUAUUUCGUUAUUUCCGAGGAAUUAACACUAGAACUACCGCACCAGUCAAAUUGACUGGUUUUACAAUUUUAUUUUAACCCUUUGAGUGCUGUGGGCGCAUAUAGGCGUCUGGCGAAAGCUAUCGGUGUGGACUAAGG